RNAcentral lists this ribosomal RNA (60 nucleotides) under uncultured organism. RNAcentral's name for it is "partial 16S ribosomal RNA". The record is from RNAcentral.
AGGAUUUGACAUGCUAGAUAGUUGCUUGAAAGAGUAACGUGCCGUAAGGAAUCUAGACAC